UAGUGGCGAGCGAACGCGGAGGAGGCCAAACCGGAGGAUUUAUUCUCCGGGGUUCGGACUUGCAUCAAGAUCAGAGGAAUCUAAAAGAACGGCAUGGGAAGGCCGGCCACAGAGGGUGAGAGCCCCGUAUUUGAAAGGUGAGACUGACAGCGAGUAUCCAGAGUACCGCGGGACACGAGGAACCCCGUGGGAAAACGGGUGGACCACCAUCCAAGCCUAAAUACUACCUGAUGACCGAUAGAGGAGCAGUACCGUGAGGGAAAGGUGAAAAGGACCCCGGGAGGGGAGUGAAAGAGAACCUGAAACCUUGUGCUUACAAGCACUCAAAGCACGUUAAUGUGUGAUGAGGUACUUUUUGUAGAACGGUCCGGCGAGUUAUAGUAACGAGCAAGCUUAAGGUAUUCAGUACCGGAGGCGAAGCGAAAGCGAGUCUGAAUAGGGCGCAUGAAGUUCGUUGCCAUAGACCCGAAACCGGGUGACCUAACCAUGAGCAGGCUGAAGUGAGAGUAAAAUCUCAUGGAGGGCCGAACGCACGUUCGUUGCAAUGACCGGCGAUGACUUGUGGUUAGCGGAGAAAUUCCAAUCGAACUCGGAGAUAGCUGGUUCUCCCCGAAAUAGCUUUAGGGCUAGCGUUAUCUUAGAUUACCGGAGGUAAAGCACUGAAUGGGCUAGGGGGCGAUAAGCUUACUGAACCCUAUCAAACUCAGAAUGCCGGCUAAUUGAUGGAUAGCAGUCAGACAGUGUGAGAUAAGUUUCAUUGUCAAAAGGGAAACAGCCCAGACCCACAGCUAAGGUCCCAAAUGUAUGCUAAGUGGAAAACGAUGUGGAAUUGCGAAAACAACCAGGAUGUUGGCUUAGAAGCAGCCACUCAUUAAAAGAGUGCGUAAUAGCUCACUGGUCGAGUGACUCUGCGCGGAAAAUAUAACGGGGCUAAGCAUACAACCGAAGCUUGGGAUUGUCUAAAGACAGUGGUAGGGGAGCGUCGUGUAUGGGGUGAAGUCGCAUCGGAAGGAGCGGUGGACUGUACACGAGUGAGAAUGCCGGAAUGAGUAGCGAGAAUUAUGUGGGAAUCAUAAUGGCCGAAAAUCUAAGGUUUCUUGGGGAAGGUUCGUCCGCCCAAGGUAAGCCGGGAGCUAAGGCGAGGCCGCAAGGCGUAGUCGAUGCACAUACGGUAAAGAUUCCGUAGCCGCCGAACUUUAAGUCAGAGGGACACUUGCAGAUAGCGGAACCCAGCCGUUGGUUGAGCUGGGCGAAAGGGACUGAAAUUAGUAGGGAAGUCCGCGAUGCUGAAAGGCGAGAAAAGCUCUGAUGGAUACUAAGGCGCCCGUACCGCAAACCGACACAGGUAGAUGAGGAGAGAAUCCUAAGGCCAACGGGAGAAGGGUUGUUAAGGAACUCGGCAAAUUGACCCCGUAACUUCGGAAGAAGGGGAGCCCCGAAAGGGGCCGCAGUGAAUAGGCCCAAGCAACUGUUUACCAAAAACACAGGUUUAUGCUAAAUCGAAAGAUGACGUAUAUGAGCUGACGCCUGCCCGGUGCCGGAAGGUUAAGAGGAGAGCUUAGAGGCAACUCGAAGGUUUGAAUUGAAGCCCCGGUAAACGGCGGCCGUAACAAUAACGGUCCUAAGGUAGCGAAAUUCCUUGUCAGGUAAGUUCUGACCCGCACGAAUGGCGUAAUGAUUUGGGCACUGUCUCAACAGCCCGCCCGGCGAAAUUGUAGUACUGGUGAAGAUGCCAGUUACCCGCAACUAGACGGAAA
Molecule: ribosomal RNA, 1757 nt
Filed under: human gut metagenome
Description: bacterial LSU rRNA
Rfam family: Bacterial large subunit ribosomal RNA
Source: RNAcentral